CCUACGGGCGGCAGCAGUGAGGAAUAUUGGUCAAUGGACGAGAGUCUGAACCAGCCAAGUAGCGUGAAGGAUGACUGUCCUAUGGGUUGUAAACUUCUUUUAUAUGGGAAUAAAAUGUUCCACGUGUGGGAUUUUGUAUGUACCAUAUGAAUAAGGAUCGGCUAACUCCGUGCCAGCAGCCGCGGUAAUACGGAGGAUCCGAGAGUUAUCCGGAUUUAUUGGGUUUAAAGGGAGCGUAGGUGGAUUGUUAAGUCAGUUGUGAAAGUUUGCGGCUCAACCGUAAAAUUGCAGUUGAAACUGGCAGUCUUGAGUACAGUAGAGGUGGGCGGAAUUCGUGGUGUAGCGGUGAAAUGCUUAGAUAUCACGAAGAACUCCGAUUGCGAAGGCAGUUCACUGGACUGCAACUGACACUGAGGCUCGAAAGUGUGGGUAUCAAACAGGAUUAGAUACCCCAGUAGUC
RNAcentral lists this ribosomal RNA (460 nucleotides) under uncultured bacterium. RNAcentral describes it as "partial 16S ribosomal RNA". It matches the Rfam family "Bacterial small subunit ribosomal RNA", at positions 338 to 795 of the family's 1533-position model. The record is from RNAcentral.